This is a long non-coding RNA of Bubalus bubalis (water buffalo), 4709 nucleotides long. RefSeq lists it as uncharacterized. The transcript is spliced from 3 exons. Lineage: Eukaryota; Metazoa; Chordata; Mammalia; Artiodactyla; Bovidae. The record is from RefSeq and is a predicted model, not a curated record.
UGCGGCAGUCCAGAACCGGGAAGGGACGUAGGAAUAACGUAACCUUUUCAAUAAAAGGAUAUAAUCAGCUUCCUUCUUAGGAAAACCAUGCCUUUUUGUAGUCUCUAAGUUCGUAUUGGAGAAAGAAAUGGCAACCCACUCCAGUACUCUUGCCUGGAAAAUCCCUUGGACGGAGGAGCGUUGUAGGCUACAGUCCAUGGGGUCGCAAAGAGUCGGACACGACUGAGCGACUUCACUUUCACUUCAAGUUCGUGUAAACAAACUGCACAUUGGCGACCCCUCCCCCACCUAGCUGGUUCACUGUUCUCGCCCUUCCCUUGAAUUAGCCAAUCGCGCUAGCUUGUGAAACCACGCUAAACAGAGCGGGCUUCCCACUCAGUGUGUUCGCCGGUCACACUUGCUGGUUGUGCAUCCUUCUGCAAAAGUAAAGUUUGCCUUGCCAAUCCAUUUUCGGAGCGCGCGGCUCCGGCGGAAGACAUUUUCAACUAUUUGGGGGCUCGUCUGGGAUCCAUGUCAUCUGGAGGGGUCGAAUGAACGCUCCUCCCCACCCCAGGAGAUGCAUCCCACUGUCUCGUUAUGGUGGCCUCCAGGGAGGGGAAAUCUGCUACCCCUUGGGUUGACAGUGGACUCCGGGUCGGAAGUCCGUCGGCAACGCAGGGGAGGGGCCCAGGCAGGCACACUGGCGACCAGGUUACUCCGUGCAGGGACCAAGGAGGAAAAGAAGAUUCUCCCUGACGUCUGGACCAGGGAAGAAAACCACAGGGGACUAAAUAUUCCCCCGAUUCACACUGAGCUUAAGGAUAAAAGGGAAACAGAAGAUAAUAUCCUACACCCCUGGAAGGGAGAUUCAGAUGAGAACCUGUUAUAGAAGGCCUGCUCUGUGAUGGGCUCCUUGGACCCUGCAUGUCCCCAUUCAAUACUCCAAUACUACCAGUAAGAAAACCUGAUGGAUCCUAUGGAUUAUUGCAGGAUUUGAGGGUAGUAAACCGAGAACUACUCUGAAGUGGACACCCUGUGGUUCCCAACCCUUGUACGCUCCUCAGCAAAGUAUCUCAUAAUCAUCAGUGGUUUAGUGUUGUAGACCCGAAAGAUGCCUUUUGGACUUGACCUUUAGCUGAGAAUGGUAGAGACCUAUUUGCCUUUGAAUGGGAAGAUCCUCAAACUGGAAGGGAGCAACAAGACCACUGGAGAGACCUUCGCUAAGGAUUUACCGAGUCACCCAAGUUAUUUGGGCAAGUCCUCGAACAGGAAGAAGAACAAUUGGCCAAGCUGGGAGCCUCUAAAACCUCUGAAGGGAAAUGGCUUCUACCUGAUGGAAAAGAGAUGCUCUCAAAACGGAUUAUGAGAGAACUGUUAACUCAAGUUACAUAGAAGAAGUCAUUGGGACCCACACGCCCUGUGUGAAUCUGCCUUAAGAGUUUAUGGAUAACAAAGGUAUAUAUACCAUAGCUAAACAGCUGAAUGAAAGUUGUAUUACUUGCAGAAAGGUAAAUAAACUAGUGUUAAAAAAACAGCCCUCAGUGGGGAAAAACCUGAGUCUGAGGCCAUUUCAGAGUAUCCAAGUCGACUAUACGGAGGAUGCCUCGAGCUGGUCGCCUCAGGUGCCUCUUAGUAAUAGUAGACCGUUUAACUAAUGGGGUUGAAGCCAUCCCGUUGUCAACUGCCAUGGUUAGCAACAUAACUAAGAUACUAUGAGAGGUCAUAAUUCCCUGCUUUGGAUUAAUUGAGAACAUAGAUUCAAAUAAUGGAAGUUAUUUUAUUUCUACUCCUGUUAAGGAGUACAAAAAGUCUGGGGAUAAAAUGGGAAUAACUUCCUAAGGAAAGGUAGAAAGGAUAAUCCAGACACUAAAGAAACAAAUAACUAAAUUAAUGUUAGAAACCGAACUUCCCUGGACCAAGUGCCUCCCAGUUGCUCUUCUCAGAAUCAGAAUUGCCCCUUAUAAGGAUAUUCGAUGAUCCCCGUAUGAGAUGCUGUACGGGUUACCAUAUUUGGGUCAAACUGCUGACCUGUCAACCAUGGAAAUAAAGACCAAUUUCUGAGAAACUAUAUACUUGGCCUCUCCUCUCCUCUGUCUUCUCUUAGGUUGCAGGGCCUCUUGGGUCAGGAUCCACCCCUUGGAUUUCUGGUGCAUCUUCUUUGGCCUGGUGAUCAUAUCCUGAUAAAGACCUGGAUGGAAGACAAACUUGAACCGCCCCGGGAAGGACUUUACCAGAUGCUGCUCACAACUGAAACAGCUGUUUGCACUGCAGAGAAAGGUUGGACUCAUUACAUGCAAGUCAAAGGGACUGAAUCCCCUAAUCAAGAGGAACAAUGGUCCGUGGUCCAACAUCCCAAUCCUACACAGCUGACUUUGAAAAGACUUUAAUACCCAUCUUGGUCAUUCUGUAUACCAAGAUGCAGAUUGUUGGGGGCAGCCCUUACCUGGUCAACUUAAUUAUUAAUAUGAUCACAAGCAGGGAUCCCCUAACUGUGAAAUCUGAUGCUUGCCAGGUCUUACCUUGUGAUAACCUACACAGCUAUCUAUAGAACAUAAGUACCUCUGUCCUGAACCAGUAUGGGUCAUGUCAGGAAAUGAUCCACACCAACUCCCCUGCUCUAGUUGGGCCAAAGUAUGGUGGAUUACCCAGUAUGGGGGUUAUAUGGCUGAGCCACUUAAAGCAGCUCUCACCCUAGCGGAACUAAAAGAUAGAUUAUCCCUGACAAGGGGGGUACCCGGAGAUGAUUGUGGGAAUCUACAACAUAACCCACUCCUAUUAAUGAUAAAACCAGGGAAAACCAGUCCAUCUCUUGAGCAUUGGUAUGGACUGUGCUGUGCUUAGUUGCUCAGUCUUGUCUGACUCUUUGCAACCCCAUGGACUAUAGCCCACCAGGCUCCUCUGUUCAUGGGGAUUCUCCAGGCAAGAAUACUGUAGUGGGUUGCUAUGCCCUCCUCCAGGGGAUAUUCCCAACCCAGGGAUUGCAGGCAGAUUCUUUACUGUCUGAGCCACCAGGGAAGCCCUGGUAUGGACUAGGGGCAGACAUAUCUGGGAGAGAUCCACUGGGAAGAAUAACUAUUAAACUUGUUAAAAAUUACCUCCUAAUUAGUGCCACAGAUGCAAAACUUCUGAACCAAUUCAACCCCCAGUUCCCAAUGACCCUACUAAGGUCACCAUGGUAGAGGUGAAGGAUUUACACCAAACCAUAGAGAUCGAGACUGGAUAUGGGAAAACAAAUGCCUGGUUGGAAUGGAUUAAAUAUUCUGUCCAAGCCUUAAACAAGAGCAGUUGUUACGCUUUCGCGGCAGGUAAGCCGGAAGCCCAGGUGGUACCAUUCCCACUUGAAUGGACUUCAGACCCUAUGGGUGUGGGAUGCAUGAUAUCCCUCUUUCAGGACAAUACAGCUUGGGGCAAUAAAUCCUGCAGGACCUUGUCACUGUUGUUCCCGAGUGAAAGGUUCCAAUAGGCCCCCAAAGACUGUCAGACCCCCAUUCCAUGACGCUAAUUACACCUCGUGCCUCUCUCUGUGGGGGGAGCAAUUAGCAUUCCUGGGCAAUGUAUCUGGGUGCAGAGAAAGCCAGUCCUUUGAGAGCAGCAAUCCACCCACAUCGUCGUUGGCCCGGAUGGAUAUCUGGUGGUACUGAGGAGAACCAUUGCUCGGGAUUCUUCAGCUGACUGGCGUGGGACUUGCACUUUAGUUCAACUGGCUGUCCCUUUCACUCUAACAUUUCUACCCCCUGACUCAACCCCUGUACAAACCAGACAUGGAAGCAAGAGAGAUGUCACCAGCCGUGGUGGGUCAUCUGAUACACAUGUUUACAUUGACUCAAUUAGAGUUCCCAGAGGUGCCCCUAAUGAAUUCAAGGCUAGAAACCAGAUAUCGGAAUUUGAAUCAAUAUUAUUCUAGCGGUCCACCAUCAGUAAAAAUGUGGGUUGGAUAAACUACAUUUAUUAUAACCAGCAGAGUUUUGUCAACUGUACUAGAGACACUGUCAAGGGAAUAGCAGAACAAUUAGACUCAACCCGUAAGAUGACCACCUGGGAGAACCGACUGCCUUAGACAUGAUCCUGGCAGAAAAAGGGGGAGCAUGUGUUAUGAUAGGAAGUCAGUGUUAUACUUUCAUACCCAACACCACCACCCCUGAUGGCACAAUAACAAGAGCCCUGCAAGGUCUGACCACCUUGGCUAAUAAGUUGGUGAAAAACUCAGGGAAAAUGAUCCUUUCUCCAGUCUGAUGGAACAAUGGCUGGGGGGUCAAAUGGAAAGGUAUAAUAAUGAUCUCUGUCCUGACCUCCCUAAUCAUUGUAUUUGAAGGAAUGGCCCUAAUAGGAUAUUGUAUAAUCCCUUGUAUCAGAGGUCUUCUGGUAAGAUCAAUAGAAACUACCCUUACUAAACAGUCUACAGAAGCCCCAUCAGAACAAUCUCUUACUAUUAGACAUAUCAGAACAUGAGAACCAUCUCAUGCUAACUGAAUUUGAAAGAGUAAAAAUGUAUCACAAAAGAGGGGAAAUUUGUAGGAAUAAUGUAAUCUUUUCUAUCAAAGAAUUAUCUUAGCUUCCUUCUUAGGAAACCCAGGCCAUUUUGUAGUCUCUAAGUCCUGUGCCUGAAGAACGAUGGAUGGAGGUUUGUGACAUUGUACAGGAGGUGGUGAUCAAAACCAUCCCCAAGAAGAAGAAAUGCAAAAAGGCAAAAUGGUUGUCUGAGGAGGCCUUACAAAUAGCUGAGAAAAGAA